Molecule: long non-coding RNA, 552 nt
Organism: Lolium rigidum
Lineage: Eukaryota; Viridiplantae; Streptophyta; Magnoliopsida; Poales; Poaceae
Exons: 2
Source: RefSeq, a predicted model, not a curated record
CAGUGCAGGAAAUGAGAACAAAACUUCAAGUGAACUAUUCCCAGCUAAAUAGAUCACUGCAUCUUGCGAGCAAAUAUAAUUAAUCUAGAUCAACUGAACUCCAGCUAAAGGUCAAACAGGCAAGGGCCCAAAUUGAUGAACCAAGUAGUUUAUGUGAAAAAAUAUAUUUUGUCUCAAGGUGUGCCCACAAAUCGUGGUGUAAAAUAUUAAUCACCUAUCUGCCGCUUUAGCUGGGUAUGAAUAGCACACAACUAAUGUAUUUGUUCAUGCCCUAGCAGUGCCAAAGAGGGAAACAAUCAUCAUCUUCUUUUUUGACGAGGACAGUGACACAAGGCACAUACAGGUAGCAGAGCUGGAGAAUAGCUAGAUCACCUUCCUUCUGUUAUCGUAGUGUAGGUCAGAAAUAUUAGAUAAUCUCUCCCCUUCCAAUAUAAAUCCAUCUACGAUAUAAUCCAGUAAACAGGUGUCCUCUGGCUUACUAUUGCUAUAAACUAAUGUGUGUCCCAUAUAUGCAUCAGCUUUGUUAAUGUUUUUACUUAUAUCAUCUGCUCA